CUAAGAAUAUUCCGCAAUGGACGAAAGUCUGACGGAGCGACGCCGCGUGGAUGAUGAAGGCCGGAAGGUUGUAAAAUCCUUUUGUCGGGGAAGAAUAAGCGUGGGAGGGAAUGCCCGCGUGAUGACAUGAACCGGCGAAUAAGCCCCGGCUAACUACGUGCCAGCAGCCGCGGUAACACGUAGGGGGCGAGCGUUGUUCGGAAUUACUGGGCGUAAAGGGCAUGUAGGCGGUUUCGUAAGCCUGACGUGAAAGGCUAUGGCUCAACCAUGGCACUGCGUUGGGAACUGCGGGACUUGAAUCACGGAGGGGGAACUGGAAUUCCAGGUGUAGGGGUGAAAUCUGUAGCUAUCUGGAAGAACACCAGUGGCGAAGGCGAGUUCCUGGCCGAUGAUUGACGCUGAGGUGCGAAAGUGUGGGGAUCAAACAG
Molecule: ribosomal RNA, 428 nt
Filed under: uncultured bacterium
Lineage: Bacteria
Description: bacterial SSU rRNA
Rfam family: Bacterial small subunit ribosomal RNA
Source: RNAcentral